AAUCAACGCUGGCGGCGUGCCUCAGACAUGCAAGUCGAACGAGAACCUCCCUUCGGGGGAGGGGACAGUGGCGCACGGGUGAGUAACACGUGGGUAAUUUACCUUUGGGUGGGGAACAACAGCCGGAAACGGCUGCUAAUACCGCAUAAUGCAGCGGCUCGACAUCGAGACAGUUGUUAAAGCGGGGGAUCGCAAGACCUCGCGCCUGAAGAGAAGCCUGCGGCGGAUUAGCAGUUGGUAGGGUAAUGGCCUACCAAGGCGACGAUCUGUAACCGGCCUGAGAGGGCGGUCGGUCACACUGACACUGACAUACGGGUCGAGACUCCUACGGGAGGCAGCAGUCGGGAAUUUUGGGCAAUGGGCGAAAGCCUGACCCAGCAACGCCGCGUGAAGG
Molecule: ribosomal RNA, 394 nt
Filed under: uncultured bacterium
Lineage: Bacteria
Description: bacterial SSU rRNA
Rfam family: Bacterial small subunit ribosomal RNA
Source: RNAcentral